This 455-nucleotide ribosomal RNA is filed under the name uncultured cyanobacterium. RNAcentral's name for it is "SSU rRNA". It matches the Rfam family "Bacterial small subunit ribosomal RNA", at positions 312 to 785 of the family's 1533-position model. The record is from RNAcentral. Lineage: Bacteria; Bacillati; Cyanobacteriota.
CCUGCAGGGCGGCCCGCGAAUUCCACUAGUGAUUGGGGAAAUUUUCCGCAAUGGGCGAAAGCCUGGACGGAGCAACGCCGCGUGAGGGGAUGAAGGCCUCUGGGGCUGUAAACUUCUUUUCUCAAGGAAGAAGAUCUGACGGUACUUGAGGAAUAAGCCACGGCUAAUUCCGUGCCAGCAGCCGCGGUAAUACGGGAGUGGGCAAGCGUUAUCCGGAAUUAUUGGGCGUAAAGCGUCCGCAGGCGGCCCUUCAAGUCUGCUGUUAAAACGUGGAGCUCAACUCCAUCAUGGCAGUGGAAACUGUUGGGCUUGAGUGUGGUAGGGGCAGAGGGAAUUCCCGGUGUAGCGGUGAAAUGCGUAGAUAUCGGGAAGAACACCAGUGGCGAAGGCGCUCUGCUGGGCCAUAACUGACGCUCAUGGACGAAAGCCAGGGGAGCGAAAGGGAUAAUCAUUAG